CGAUGGGCCAAUUGUGCGCCUCCCUAUGGGACUACCAAUCACAGCCAGUUGUGAUACAGCCUGGAUUCGAACCAGGGUGUCUGUAGUGACGCCUCUAGCACUGAGAUGCUGUGCCUUAGACCGCUGCGCCACUCGGGAGCCAGAGUGUGUGUGAUGAAGACCUUGAGGUAAUUUUCUUGUUUGAAGAAAUUAUUUUGAUUGUCUUGAUGAGUCUCUCAACUACAAUUUGCUUACAAUUCACAUGACUAACAGUAUCCUUCCACUUACUGUAACUAUUACAUUGCAUACCGAGAGCUUUCCGACUGCACAGUCACAAAUGAUUGGAUGAGCAAGUGGCUGGAUCCUUCAUGAUCAUUAAGGGUGAGACAAGAAGGCUCGAAUUUUGCUAAUCCUGCAGUCUCAUAAGGAAGAUAUAACAGGCUCAUUGUAAGCUGGACAAGGACUUUGAUGCUGACACCCACUUCUACUUCAUUACAUAAGUUAUGUUCUGAGAGGUCACAGUGAGGAUUCUGCAGAAGCAUGAGGGUUUCAGUCGCUUUUGAGAAAAGCUGUCCUACGAUGAGGCGUGUGUCAACCAACUUGCGCGCACACACACACACACACACACACUUGUACACUUUAGUUUUCCUCACACAUAUUGCCUCCCCAUAAAUUGUUUUUAUUUAUUUCACUAUUUGGUUGCAUCUGCAUGUUCAUUUGAGAGGCAGAGUCUAAGGGGUUAAGAGGGCCAUAUCGGAACUUUACUUUAAUUAAUCUGAGGACUGUUAUUUAUCUAAUCAACUAUGUUAAAUUGUUACCCGAUUAAAUUAAUCAUAUGACAAUUAACUCAUUAGGAAUUGGGGCACCAUGAGAGUGGUUCUUUAAAGAGUUACCAUCUGUCAUGGCUGGCUGAAGGACUGGACCAAGGUGCAGCAUGGAGCUUUCUCGAUCGUCUUGUAAAUAGAAGUCAGGGAAGAGUUUUGCCAGUUUUUUUCCCAUACUUGCUGCUGGUUUUUUCUCCACUCUGAAAAAAACAUCCACCUUCACAUCGUACUGCCACAAGAUCACAUUUUUUUAUUCAUUUAACAUGUAUGCUUUUUAUUUUGAAUGUCUGUAAUUCCACCAUCAUAUUGUAACAUCAGCACACAGUUCUCAUGUCUCGCUCAUCAUGUCAAGUAAAUCUCAUCAAUGUGUUAUAGUUGCAAAUAUAAUUUCAUAUAACUGUUUUGUUUUCUUAAAGCCUACAUUUCGUAUUGCCUUCUUGCUGUUUGGGAUCUGCUUAUUACUUUG
Molecule: long non-coding RNA, 1269 nt
Organism: Oncorhynchus tshawytscha (Chinook salmon)
Lineage: Eukaryota; Metazoa; Chordata; Actinopteri; Salmoniformes; Salmonidae
Source: Ensembl